GAUGAACGCUGGCGGCGUGCCUAAUACAUGCAAGUCGAGCGAACGGACGAGAAGCUUGCUUCUCUGAUGUUAGCGGCGGACGGGUGAGUAACACGUGGAUAACCUACCUAUAAGACUGGGAGAACUUCGGGAAACCGUAGCUAAUACCGGCUAAUAUUUUGAACCGCAUGGUUCAAAAGUGAAAGACGGUCUUGCUGUCACUUAUAGAUGGAUCCGCGCUGCAUUAGCUAGUUGGUAAGGUAACGGCUUACCAAGGCAACGAUGCAUAGCCGACCUGAGAGGGUGAUCGGCCACACUGGAACUGAGACACGGUCCAGACUCCUACGGGAGGCAGCAGUAGGGAAUCUUCCGCAAUGGGCGAAAGCCUGACGGAGCAACGCCGCGUGAGUGAUGAAGGUCUUCGGAUCGUAAAACUCUGUUAUUAGGGAAGAACAUAUGUGUAAGUAACUGUGCACAUCUUGACGGUACCUAAUCAGAAAGCCACGGCUAACUACGUG
This 497-nucleotide ribosomal RNA is filed under the name uncultured bacterium. RNAcentral's name for it is "partial 16S ribosomal RNA". It matches the Rfam family "Bacterial small subunit ribosomal RNA", at positions 28 to 507 of the family's 1533-position model. The record is from RNAcentral.